UUUGCCUACGGGGGGCAGCAGUGGGGAAUAUUGCACAAUGGGGGAAACCCUGAUGCAGCGACGCCGCGUGAGCGAGGAAGUACCUCGGUAUGUAAAGCUCUGUCAGCAGGGAAGAAAAUGACAGUACCUGACCAAGAAGCCCCGGCUAACUACGUGCCAGCAGCCGCGGUAAUACGUAGGGGGCAAGCGUUAUCCGGAUUUACUGGGUGUAGAGGGAGCGUAGGUGGCAGGGCAAGUCAGAUGUGAAAACCCGGGGCUCAACUCCGGGAGUGCAUUUGAAACUGUCCAGCUAGAGUGCAGGAGAG
Molecule: ribosomal RNA, 305 nt
Filed under: uncultured bacterium
Lineage: Bacteria
Description: bacterial SSU rRNA
Rfam family: Bacterial small subunit ribosomal RNA
Source: RNAcentral